Molecule: long non-coding RNA, 222 nt
Filed under: Nicotiana benthamiana
Lineage: Eukaryota; Viridiplantae; Streptophyta; Magnoliopsida; Solanales; Solanaceae
Description: long non-coding RNA (NBEN_LNC000668)
Source: RNAcentral
GAAGAUGCGAGAAGCGAGGCUGAGGUGGUUCGGGAAUGUGCGGAGGAGAAGUCCUGAUGCCCUGAUGAGGAGUUGUGAGCGGCUGGCGACGGUCGGCGUACGACGAGGCAGAGGGAGGCCUAAGAGGUAUUGGGAGAGGUGAUUAGGCAUGACAUGGCCAGAAUGCGGGUUUUUGAGGACAUGGCCCUUGAUAGGAAAGUCUGGAGGUCUAGUAUCAGGGUU